AUUUGUUAUGUAAAAUAUAAUGAUUUCAUGAGAUUCAUUUGUUGGGUUUGACUAGUUGAAAUUAUCUUUUUUGAAAAUGAUCUAUGUUAUCCAUGCCGUUUUUCUCAUUCACUUUCCAUGGAUUUAUGUGAUAAACCGUUUUUGGGAUCUGAUACACUUGCAUUCUGUUUGAAUGCUGGGAAUCUUUGAAAAAAGGAGGCAAUUUAAAGUCCAUGUCUUGGAAAACCAGUUAUCUUUACACACUGUUAUAUUAUUUAGGAUUUCUCAUGAAAAUACAUUCAUAAACAUAGAUCAGGAAUGUCAGUUAAUGCCACUAAAUGAGUAGCAUAAGUUUGAAAUUUUUAUUUUAGUCUGAAAUCACCUUCUUAACCUCCACUUCAGACAGGAUCAAGAUUUUUAAGAUUAACCUGAUGCUACCUUCACUAACGAAAAUUCAUGUCGAUAUUGCAUCAGUGCUUGAUCUUUGAUGCUUGUGACUUAAGACUUUUGGAUACCUAGGCACCACACAAUAAUAUUCUGGGUCACUUGGAUUGUGUGAUGUCAUGAUUUCAUCAAGAAGUGUCAGCACUUUGCCAUGGCCUUUUGGAUUGUUCUGCUAAAAUGUAUUUCAAAGCAUCCAAACCCCCCGUAUUUGUACCCUUAUCAAUGCAUUAUAGGACAGUGAAGAGACACGCCAGUAAACCCAUAUAUAAUUAGCUUUGAGAUGUAAAUUGCAUUCUUAAAAAGUAGCUAUUGGGUAAUGAUUUGUGUGCAUUAUUAUAUGCCAUUACCAAGUUCAGAUGAUUACAUUUAUACCAGACACAUUAUGUAUCGAGUUUGCAAUUUACUGUAAUUCCUGCAAGGAUUAUGUCUGUGGUUAUAUGUGAUAAAGGCAAUUCUGCUAAAGUUGAUUACAAUUUUGUCAAAAAGAAAGUUUGGGUAAGAUCAUCAAGGUUUGACAGGGUUUCAAAUUAUUGUAUUCAUUGAUGUCUUGGAAAGUACAAUAUAAGUUAUUGAUGCAUACACAUGUGCACAUGUUUAUUGUGCGAUAACUUGAUGAAUGAUAAUUAUUUAAGUUAAAAAUAUCCAGAGUAUUUUACAUCUAAAAUUACGUGAUGAAGUCCCCCCCCCCCCCCCCCCCCGCCCGAAAAAAGGAGAGAGAAAAGUUGAAUGCAUGGAAAGUUGUAUAAGCACCUAGAGCUUGUAUUUUUGGUGAAACAUCUCUAGUUAUAUAACUACUGCUGCAAGAGAAAAUCUCAGUUGAGAAUAAAUUUCAAAACAACGAGCUAUUAGACAUGAGAUAGUAUGUUAAUCUAAAUCCUCUGGUUCACCUCAAAGUCAAUGUGAUCCCAUGUGAAUUUUCCUUAAAAAAAUGGAUAGAGUUUGGAUGGAAUAAUCGGAUGAAAAGUAGAGCUGUAAAAUUGGGGAGUAAAGUUCUAUCACAAGGAUGAAUUACAUCUAGUGUGAAAAUGGUACAAUUUUUAUUCAAAGCUUCAACAUUCUCCAAAUGAAAAUAUUUCUUGAGGGUGUCUAGGAACCAGCAUGGAGAAAGACAUCGAACUUGAUUUUUGGUCCUUUUAAAAUUUAAAAGCCUCCUUGCUCUUUGUUAAGCUUAAAGCAACCAUUGAUGCAGAGUCUUCUUAUGCCAUGCCAGAUUGACCACUUCGAUGGGAAAAUAAACAAAAUAACAGAGGACAUAAUCAAUUACUUUAUUAGUCCUCAGAAUCAUAUAGUUUUAGAACUUCUUGAAGUUCGAGUAUUUUAUGAUCUGUCUGGGUAAGACCUUAGUUUGUGCUGUUAUUUUUUUUUUGUUAAAUUCUUAAAAUCAAAGAUUAGUUGCAUGCAUUUCUUCCACCUUUUGUUCUUAUGUGAAUAUAGUAGUAAUUGGUGGUUAAAAUCUAAUUACUCACAUAUAGUAGUGAAUAUGCAAUUUAAUGAAUAAGAAAAUGCUUGAAAGGGUGACUGCUUGAGUAGAUUGAUGGGCGAUUCCUUCUUGCCUUUUUGAAGGAACCAUUUGGUGCCUAAAGACAAGCCUUUUCUAGGAAGGUCUUAGUACUGGGAAGAGUUGAAGCGACUUAAGAGAUAAGACUCCAAAAGAAGUAACUGUUAUGGACAGGACCAUAGCCUACCACAACCUUUUAUUCAUUGUGCCAUGUUCUCAGAUUUGCUUCUCAUUGUCCAAUCUGUUCUUCAUUCUGCCUGGGUCUCUAUCAUCUCCACAAAAGGAUUACUGGCUGUUGUGUUUCUUUUCCCAUAUACAUUGAGUGCACUUCUCAAAGGUGUGAGUAGCUUUGAGCUGGGGAGCUGGGAAUGUGUGGUCUUCCGUCACUCAAAGAUGAGAUUCUUAUGUUGCCAGAAGUAAAAUGAGACAAAGUUGGAUGCCACAUGAAGCUAGACUCAGAAGCUUUCACGUUAUAUUCAUAUAUUUGCACCGACCUUUUAUCUAAUUAUUAAAUAAAUUAGAAAAUAUGGAAUGUAUUAAGUAUUUACUUGCUCUGAUAAAUGAUGUCAUUAUUCAGGAGUGCUAACAUAGAUCCUCAGAUUAGAGUCUCGAUGAACUUCGAUUUUCUUAGGUUUAAGUGUACAUAGCUUUGAAAAUCUCUUUGCAGAAUCUGUUGGUGACUUGUUAUUGCCAUUAAUGAAGGGAUUUAAAAAGCUGACCUAACGAUCAACGAUGUUCAUUUAGAAAUGGAUACCAAAGUAAAUAGGUGAAUAAUUUCUUUUAACUGUUAUUUCAUUAUGGUUUCAGAUUUGUUGAUUAUUUGAUAUGCUCUGUUGUUGCAGUAUGGACCCAUUGUUGAUAUUGAUCUGAAGAAUCCUCCAAGGCCUCCGGGUUAUGCAUUCAUUGAGGUAAUGCUAUCUCAUUUUGAAAUACAUUGUUAAAAUGUGCAAUGUUAAGAAUAUGGGCGUGUUGUGUUGUGUAGUUGCAGCCUUUUCUGUUCGCACAUCCAGAUAACAAAAAAUAAUUGGGCUGUUGUCAGAAUGAUGUAUUUACUAUGUAUAAGUUGGUUUUUGUCAUGGGAACUUAGUAUGUUUCAAGGCUUAUACUACAUGACACUUUCAUUUCUUGCAGUUUGAAGAUGCUCGUGAUGCUGAACAUGCUAUUCGUGGUCGUGAUGGUUACAAUUUUGAUGGUCACAGAUUACGGGUAUCAUAUUUGGCAAAUACUGAUAUGUUAUUAACAGACUUUUCUGUGGCUAAGAUUUCCUUCACCUUGUUUCGUCUUUAAUGCAGGUGGAAUUUCCACACGGUGGAAGAGGCUAUUCUUUUUCUGUGGACCGUUACAGCAGUUAUAGUCGUGGCGGAGUCUCGAGGCGGUCCGCAUACUGUGGUAUGUGGUUAAAUAUGUAGUGUUAUUUGCUCCUUUUUUAGCAUUUCUUGGAUGAUACAUGCAUUUUUUUAAACUUUCUAAUAUAUAUAUAACCAUGCAGUGCUGGUUACUGGUUUACCUUCUUCUGCCUCAUGGCAAGACCUGAAGGUAGAUUUCAAAUGGCAUGUGCAAUUUCACCUUAUUUUUCAUCUCUCAUCUUGAAUAUGCUUACUUUAAGUUUUUACCCAUUGACUAGGACCACAUGCGUCGUGCUGGUGAUGUCUGUUUCUCCGAAGUGUUUCGUGAUGGUGGAGGUAAGCUGCUGAUUCUCCUUUACUUUUGCCCUGGGUCUGUUUCUUAUUCUAAUUGUUACAUGCUACAUUUGUUAGGGUGAUGUUUUCUGAAUUGGCAUAGUAUUAGGUUCUCUGACUGCAUAUGAUGCUUGCUAUUUACAUUUGAAUACUGAUACAUGCAUGCAGUCAUCUUUCACUAAAUAUAGAUAUACUAUAAAAUUAUUGGCUUCCUUUCUUCUUGAUAUAUGAUAGCUGACACCAGAGUGGGAUGACUUAUGAUCUAGGGAAUGUGGUCUAAUUUCCAGGCAGGACAGUCAGCUCACAUUGUGAUCAUAAUAUUAUAUUUUUCGAUAUUUUGUUUCUAAAGGAAGUUGGUGAAAUGUGUGAUAUUUUUUAAGGACUUGCCCUGUAGCAUUCUUGGAUUCUUGUUUACAACCUGGAAUAUUUAAUAAAAUCCAGAAAAAUUCACUUUGCAGUCUUGAUAAUCAUUUGAUUAGUUUUUAAGGUAUGAAAUUAAUUAACAUGAGAGUAACUGAUAAAACUCAAAUGAACUUUUAUGUUCCUAUGGAUUUUUUAUCAUUUCUUCUGAAUUUUACUCAAAUUGGUGCUUGCUAGUUUUGCAUCUUUAUAUUUCUGCCAGCUACUUUUUCAGAAAAAAAUAUCAAGCCAUAUGAGUGCAGUCUUACAAUACUUGACUUUUUCCCUUGUCUAUAGCUGGAAGGCAUUUUCAUGUAUGCGAGUAGCUUACUAGCUUAAAUAUGCAAACUUUAACAUUGAAAUUAAUCCUCUGGAAUUCAAUGUUUCUUGUUGGAUGGUUGCAUGAAGUUACUGGAUUUAGAACACAAUGAACCUCAUAUAUUAGCUUGCUGGUUAAUAUUAUGUUACAAAUUAAUGAUGUUACAUCUGUCAACAUUUUUUUUUGGCUUGUUGAGAUGACUUGAAUGAAUGUCAUCAGACAGUGGUUUUUAUCAGUAUGUCUGCAUAGUGACCAUAAUCAUACUGACUACCUUUUAGUGAUCCUAUAUUUCCCAUUUCAUGAAGAUGAUUGAUCUAUCUGGCUGAUUUGGCCUUUUUAACUGUUGGUACUUAUAUAGGUCGGUUUGAGCAAAUACAAACUAAUCAGAGAUAUCAUUUGAGUGCCUCAUUUGAGUCAUGAGAUAUAUUUUUGGCUUGCUAUAUUGACAUCUACAUCAGCAUGUAAAGUUUUUCUAUCAUUUUAACAUCCUAAUAAGAAGAGAGAAGAGGGGGGGGGGGAUGAUAUGAGGGAGAGGAGAACAGAUGAAGGAAGGUCUUUAAACAAGGAAAGAAAUAAAUAUAUAGAUAAUGUGCAUGCAGAAAAUACCAAUGCUAUACUAAUUGUUGCCUGAUAUCUUGAUGAGCUCAAUUUGCUAGUCCAUAAGUAUCUCAAAGUAAUCACUGCAAUAAGGUUGUGUACAUUCCAUGCAAUUUUAUUUAUUUUCUUUUGCUGUCUUUACUAAUAUUUGUUUGAUUUUAUAAAUUGCAUGUAUGUUAUCAACUGAUUUACAGUAUAUUGAUUGGUGUUGGCAUUGUCUACCAGUCAUGACUAGACUUCAGACUUGUCUUAGAAGCCUAUUUGCUUACAGUAAGACUUUAUGCUGUGCGCCUUAGCCACCUGAAUCUGGAUGAGGUCAAUGUUUUUCUCAGUCGUAGAUGGAUACUUUAUCAAUACUGGUCGGUGCAGUACAGUAAUCCUUGUACCAAUACAUGGUAAGCUGUUGGAGUCGACACAAACACCUAUUCCAUCUGUUGGAGUGGGGGAAUACUAAGUCCCACAUACUAUACUAGGUUGGCAUUGUGUGCAAUUUACUGGGUACUUUGGCACUUAAAAACCUGAAUAUGGCGUAGUGGAGAACUAUAAUUUUUUUUUGGUUGAGGAUGAUGAGAGACAUCCUAAUAAAUAAUUUAAAUAUUCUAUAAAAGCGAACAAUUAUGCUUUUUCUUGAGAGGAGGCGCAAAAUCCCCAUAUUUGGUUGGAACUUGAAGCAGGUUUCUUGUAUCAACACAAGAUAUUUCACUAACCUGUCCAUUUGGCACCAUCUUUUACAUAUAUAUGUUACAUGCAUAUAUAAAUAUAUGUUAUAUCUAUAUAUAUUUAUAUAUAGACAUGUUAUAUACAUUUAUGCAUUAUAAUAUAAAUAUUUAUAUUUUGUGUAUAUAUACAUAGUGUGUGUGCAUCUAGUGUGUCUAUAUUUCACUAACUUGCCCAGUUGACACUGUCUUUUACAUAUAUAUGAUCUGCACAUAUAUAAAUAUAUGUUACAUAUAAAAUAUAUUUAUAUAUAGAUAUAUGGGACAUUUAUGUAUAUAUAUACAUUUAUGUGUUAUAAUAUAAUAUUUAUAUUAUGUGUAUAUACAUAGCAUGUGUAUCUACGUAUACAUAUAUAUAUACAUAUAUCUGUGGUAUCUCUCUCUCUCUCUCUCUAUCUAUCUAUCAAUCUAUCUAUCUAACUAUAUGUUAUUCAUGUAUCCAUAUAUGUUCAUUUAUAGGGAUGGAUUAGGCUUCUCCGAAGAGGAGAGGGUGUGUACACCUUUCAGGUUGAAAAUCAAUAAUCAAGAAUUUAAAUUGAAGAUCCACUCCAUUGAUCAUUAUCUAUACUCCUAGAAAUGCCUAGAAACCAAAAAUCACGUGUUCUGACAGACUCUAACCUAUGCAUCAAGUGGGUGCAAAAAUGUAUGGUUAAAAUGAUAUUAGACGAUGUGUUGCUAUGAUCGAAACAUCAAACUCUAAUAUUUUUUAAUAUAUACAUGUUUUAGCAUAUGAAUAAGGUGGAUUCUCAAUAUAAAUGCUGUAUCUUGUUUUUCAGCAUGCUAUGACAAUGAAAACCAUCAAUUUUAUGUCUGCUUAAUAUGUAGGUUAGGGACCGCAAAACACAUGAUUUUUUGUUUCUAGGCAUUUUAGUCAUAUAGAUCAUGCUCAACGGUGCAGACUUUUGAUUUGUGUGCUUGAUUACUGAUAUUGGACCUCAGAGGAUUAGAUACGCUCUCCUCUUAAGAGGAGACUACCCCAUAGAGAUAUUUGAUAUGUGAAUGAAAGAAGUCAAAAAACUGAAUGCUGUAUUCAUAAUUGAAAGAAGUCUGAUUUUAUGUACUAGUCAAAGUGGAUGUUGCAUUCAUAACUGAAUGUUGCAUUCAGACUAUAUGUGCUUUGAAGUUUCACGUUAAAUUUGGAAACUGAAACCUAAGGCUAUGUCUAGAUGUUGGUCAAGUGGUGGGUACUAGGAAGUUAUCUAUUUUUUUUGGGUAAAUAGGAAAUUAUCUGUUUAACCAGCCAACAACACCCAACAAUACUCAAAAAGUGGUAGUCAAAGGCUCAAAAGGGUACUUAACCAGGGUAACUUUAUCCUAUAAACAAUAGGGGCAUCAACCAAACAGUGAAUAACUUUAUUUGCUAGUUAGUGGGUGAAUAAACAUGGUUAAAUCUACUACGGGGUGAUUCGCCAUUUGGCAUCCAUACACAGCCUAAAUGAUUUGUUUUUGACCCAAUGAGUUUGAGGCUAAUUUCAAUGAAAACUAAGAUGUGGGGCUCACUCAAUAUAUUUCUUAGCUACCUAUGCUAGCCUUUUUUCUCAUUUUAUCAUUCAUUUUGUUUUGUUCUCUUUGCAGCAAUACCUUCCUCACAAAAAAUAAAGGAGAACAAAGUUUCUGGUGUAGGCUUACCUAUUUUAAGACUUGAACAUCGGGGCAUUUUUAUUGUCUUUUGUUAAAUUGUCAUUAAGCAAUAAAAUGAUAUAUUAUAUAUUUAACAUCACAUAUAUAUGUUUGUGUGUGUGUGUGUAUAUUUAAAAUUCUAACUGUCAUAAUAUGAAACUAGUGAAGCAAUACAUCUAAAGGUUCGGAAGAAUGUGAAUUUCCUUCAAAAGGUCAUGUAAUUUCUUCUGGACUUGGUUUAUUUUCCAUAUUUUAAAAUUCAGUUGAGGAUAAUUUACUGUUAUGUAGUUGCAAAUGAAGAUUAUCAAAACUAAAUCUGCAACCAUUGGAACUGCAAAAAUUUGAAUUCAUUUGGCCAGCUGAAGCCAAAACUGAUUUUCAAACCUUGGUUAUUUUAUAUAUCCUUCAGUACAAAUCUUAAAGAAUUCCCUUAAUACAUCUAUUAUUGAACCAUGACUUGCAAGAGAGAGAAGGAAAGAAUCUAAGCUUAUUUUUGUGUCCAAAUAGAAAGAAAUUAUUGACACUUCUAGUUUUUGAGAUUUCCUUUAUUUCUAUUCAACAAUUAGUGUUAUGCAUUGUUUUCCAUCUUUUACUAUUAAGUGACUUAUUUAUAUAUUUUUUUAUUGCUUCGCUGAAAUAUGAUCAUUGCUUGUUGCAAUGGUAAAUGGCUUGGGCUUACAAGCACAAUUGCAUGGGUUCUAAUCCCAAGGCAACAAUAUUGUGCAAGAAAAAUGUCAAAGAUUAGGUUUGUUCUUGGUUUGCCCCUCGUAGUAGGGAUGUGCACGAGUUAGGUCGGGUCGGUUUGGAGCUAAACCCGAAACUAACCGAUUUAAACCAUUUUCCUAAAACUGAAAUCGAACCCGAGCCAACCAUUUGAAAUUGACCCAAAAAAUUUGGUUCUGUUCAGUUUAUUGGGUUGAUAUUCACUGGGCUGGGCUAAGUCUAAACAUAAAAUUUUUUUAUAUAGGGUGGUUAUGCAACGGACUGGACUAAAUGGGCUAGGCUUAGUCUAAACNNNNNNNNNNNNNNNNNNNNNNNNNNNNNNNNNNNNNNNNNNNNNNNNNNNNNNNNNNNNNNNNNNNNNNNNNNNNNNNNNNNNNNNNNNNNNNNNNNNNNNNNNNNNNNNNNNNNNNNNNNNNNNNNNUGAAACUGAACUGAAUUUUGUAGGUUCAAGACUUUAAAACUGAAACCAAACUGAAUUUAAAAAAAAUGAUGUAAACUAAACCGAAGAGACCAGUUCGGGUUGGGUUCGUGGUUCGGCUGGUUUUUUACACACCCCUACAUUGCAGGACCUUAGAUUAUCGGAAUCAUAAAUGUGCAAUGGCCCUUUUUUGUGCUUCAAUAUGUAUUAGUGUACUAUGUGGCACAGAGUAAGCCAUAGCCUCAUCAAGAUGUGGAUUCUGUUUGGUAAUUAAUUAAGGAUUCUUUAUGUUCUUGAAUAAUGAAAAUUCAAAUUUUGAGUUGCAAAAUUAAAAUUUGAGUUUUAACUACGCUUGCAAACUUUGCUAUGAUUUGAGUUCUGUGGAUAUAAAUGUGCUUGUCUUAUGCUAAUCUGUCUGGAUUCAAAUUUAAAUUUAUUGAUUCCUUAAUUGUACAUCAAAUUGAUAUGCUGCUAUAGACCAAAUGACCGAAGAAUCCUUACUAUCCCUUUCCCCUUUCCUUUCUCCUCUCUUAUUUUACCUGCUGUAAGGGAAAUGCCUGAGGUCUUUACCUUCGGAACUAAUAAUUGUAUUGAAAUGAAUAUAUAGUAAUUGCUCCAAUGUGUGUUUGCAGGCACUACAGGCAUUGUAGACUAUACAAACUAUGAUGACAUGAAAUAUGCAGUAUGUUUCUAAUCAGUUAUAUCUUGAAAAUUUCAUUUAAAUUUAUAUUGUUUGUUAGGUAACAUAAGAACCUGAACAUCUAAAAUUUUGUUUGUCUUUAACCUCCAUGCAGAUCAGGAAACUUGAUGACUCUGAAUUCCGGAAUGCAUUUUCUCGGGCAUAUAUAAGGGUAUCACACACGCACAUACCCUUUGUAGCCCUUUUUCCUUCUCAUCAGAUGGCCUUUUCUCAUGCAAUACUGUUCUGGUGAUAUAGGUCAGGGAAUAUGAUCGGAGGCGAAGCCUAUCUAGGAGCCGCAGCCGUUCCUACUCCAGAAGCAGAAGCCCUAGCUGGAGUCGCAAUUAUAGCCAAAGCUGGAGCCACAGCCGAAGGUAUGGUGCAGAUUUUCUUGUCAUAGAUACUUUGUGUAAAUGGAUAAUCCUUAAGUUUGAGUGAAUUUAUUGUGCAGCAAGACUUCGAGAGGAAGGCCAGCAUAUCGCUCGUUUUCUAGAUCUCAAUCAAGAUCUGUUUCAUCUUGCUCUGAUUCAGGAUCGAGGGGGCGCUCUCUGUCAGGGUAUGCCUUUGUUUAGUCCGUACUGUCUAUUCAUGCCUCUGUGGAUGUGGGUUUGAGACAUUUUAAAAAAUUGGUUAUUGAAGCACGGAAUCUCUAAAUUCUGGAUUGGCCAUCCCUUUCUCUGUGCUUGUUAUUUUACCUUGUUGAUAUGCAAAUUUAUCUAUUUUGUCUUGCUUGCUAUUUUAGGCUUUUCUUGAUUACAAACAAUGAGUUUUCAGACCUUAUAGUUUAUCUUUUUUUUUUCGUCUUAAAUGUUAUUUCAUUCUUUCCUUAAUGAUAAACAGUGAGUUAUCAGAAGUUAUGGUCCAAAAUGUUGGUGUACUGCUAUUCUCAUGUCUCUGUUAUCUUGUUUCUAAGCAUUGUUCAGAGUGCAUUUCGGGAGAACAAUUAAAAUAUUUGUUGGGAUGAAAGCUUGGUGCAAGAACAUUGAAGGUGGCUCUUAGAAGGAAUAUUUAUGGCAAGUAAGGGUUCAUAAUGCUGAGCCCAAAUGGUUGGAGGAGUCCUCAAUGGUUAUUGUUAUGCGUUGAUCAAGUUUGCAAUGCUUUAAGCUAGUUAGUUAGCCAAUCAUAGGAUAACUUUAAAAGUAUUUAUUGUGCAGAUGGAGAACCUUAAGUUAUUACCUUGAUUCUGAUUCACGUCCUGCACGUGUGAUUUGUGAAGGAUGAGGAGUUCUACAUUACUUCUUCCCUAGAACUUACAUUUGACUUAGAUAUUAGGUUUUGUGUUAACUGUAUAGGAGUUACAUGCUUCAUUCCUUUGGGUAAGGAUGAUAACUUUCUUCAGAACAGAACCUGCAUAAAGGUAAUGGAUAAGCACUUGUCAAAGCUUGAUCGAGUGUUAUGUUCUUACAAUAUCAAAUGGUUGCCCCAAUUUUGAACCUUUGACACUUCCAUAUAAUUUAUGUCUUAUGAAAUCUUCGCAGCAGAACAUAAUAUUACAGUAGUCCUUCCAUUUUAUUUUUCCAAACCUUGCUAAGAAGGAGCUUAGUCACUGGCUAGAACCUAACAAAGCUAGAUUUUCCUUUUUCUUGUUUAAAUAAGUUUAGUGAGAUGACUGUCUUUUCUAUUGAAUGCGACAUUUUCAGUGAGAUGUGAGGAUCCUUUGGAGGUUGUUUUUUUAUGGGCUGAGAGAAGAUGAGAUGGCAUAAGAUAGUUGAUAGCCCUGUUGUAUUGUGUGUAACUCUGAAGUAUUUUGAAUGAACCUCAAGUUGAUAAUAAAUUCUAUAUUAUGCUUGGAAAGGAUUCAUUAAAUAAAUUUUGGAUAGUUCUAACUUUGUAGAAUUUUUGAAUCUCCUCUUCAAUGGUUUGCCAAGAUAAGUACAAAGCUACAGUUCACUCAGUUAAGUUUUGAGGAACAAUGUUGGUGUCAUUUUUUUUCAGCAAUUCAUAAUGCUGAUAUCUUACAAUAUAAAAUGGAGUGGUAGGUUAUUUAUUUAUUUUAGUAUGCUGUAAAGGGGAAUAAUAAGAACCCCUUGAAAUGUACUUAUGAUUUGUCCACAUCAACCCAAGACGGACAACUAUCAAGCUAUCUCUUGCAAGGAGAGUUUAUAGGGUUAUUGUAUUACCACUUGGCUUCUGUUUCUAUUAUUAGUUCGGGAAAUGCUACUUGCUUAGCCUAUUAUUACCUUUUCUUGACCAAACAAUAUUUUGAAACAUUCAUUUUGCAACUCUGGUUAUGGAGGGGGAAGAAGAUGAGACCAAAUUACUGUUCCAAGUGCUAUCAAUGCCUUUGUUUGGAGGGGGAAGAAGAUAAAUUGAUGCACAAGACACAGAUGAAGACAUGGGAUCAUGAUGUGGGAUAGUCAAAAAUGUGAUGUGAAAGGUGUUGUUGAUUUUGAUGCUAGAAUACAUGGAGAUGGGCAACUCAAUUUGACUGAUGAGAGCAUAUGAUAAACGUUCCACAUUUUUGAAGGAUGUUCUUCAUUUUGUUCUUUAGAUGCAGCCUGUUUGGAGGUGGCUUUGGCAUCCUAUCUUCCCUGUUUGUUGAGGCCUGGUUUGGCUGAACCUGAUCGAAUGUAUUUCGAGGGAUUGUUGUGGUUGGGGUUGGUAGAGUAAGCGAACAACUAGCAAGAUUAAUUGUUGGUAUUUUUCUAAUGCAAUUAUUUAUAUAUGGGGUUGUAUAGAUGUUAUAUACAUCAGGAUGCCUAUUCUUAUUUAAGAGGGGAGCAUGUGGAUGGUUAGAAAAAAAUACCCUACGAAUAGUGUUGUAAACCUUAGAUGAACCAAGUUGACACUAAUCAAGUCAAGCUGGCGAAAGGCCUGCUUGAGCGCCUUUGGAUUAAUCCGGAGUUCAAGUUGGUUGGCACUGUUCAGCCUCUGAAUAUGGAGAGAGAUGUCCUUCUGCAGCCACCGUAGCUCUCUACCAACUUUGCCCACACCUUUGGCCAUGCUACUGCUGCUAUUGCUUGCUGCUUUUGCAUCCCUUUUGCUGGUAGCUUCCUUCUACCUUCCAAUACGUUGUGCCUUUGGAGAGGGAAAAGGAGGUUUCUUUCUAGCCCUAGAAAGAGGAAUUGAGAAGGACAAUCAGGGAAAAUGAGUAAGACUGACUGGCUACUGUUAGUUUAUGUCAACAUUGAUGCAGGCUAGACCUUAUAAUCUUGGGCAAUAUUAGUGGGAUCUGACCCAAAUUAUCAGUUCCACACUUCAUAAUGUGACUGAACUCGUUAAUUUGGCUGGAUACUGCUCUAGGGGCUUGCUUUUCUGCACUUGGACGAUGAUCGUGUUGUUGAUUCAAAAUGACUUGAGACAUUUACCUCUUGAGGCUUUCAUGCAUGUAGAGCUGCGCACUCUACAUGAUGCCACCCACUCUCUACUUGAUACAUCAGACAACAGAUGGUGGAAAUAACCUCCGAAUUUCAUGUAUCUUAUUUGCAAGGAUAGCUAGUCGAAAAAUGACAUAUUGCCUAGUUUUUGGGAUUUUCUUUUUGAUGUUGGUCCAAGUAGUAGUUUAGCAGUUGUUCGCUUUGGCACAUCAGCUGGUAAUCAUAUUGAGAUAUCAAGACAAAUGAAUGAUGAUAUACUUGUGAAUUUGGAUUGUUAUACGUCAAAAGUCCACACUUCUUGUCAUGUCUCUGUCCAAUGUCGUAAAGGCCGCUCUGUGUGCUUGUUUAUGUGCUUGAUUAUGUGCAAUAUUGAAGUGCUCAGGGGCUUGCUCUGUGGCGAGGAAGCCCCUGAGCACCUCAAUAGUCCCCAGGCGAGGUGAGGUGAGUUUGCCAAGAUGAUGCCUAGCAAGCCCCCCCCAGACAAAGUGAGGAGUUUGGCAAGCGCCUCUCCAAUGUCUUAAGAAAUUCAGUUAUUUACUUUUUGGUAUAUGUUUUAGAAACAUCAACCAUGUUUGGGAAAGUGGUAUUUGCUAUCAUAUUUGAAUUUUGAAGUUAUUAAAGGCUGUCUAGUGGUUUAUUUUUGCCAACUUUAAUUAUUUGAAAAGAUGAUAUAGGAAGUGACAUUUAGAUGUGAUUUUUAAAAGAUGCGAAACACGAUAUCUAAUGUACAAGACAGUUUAAUUUUUGAUAUUGAAACUUGAUGCUUGAAUUAUUUUCAGAUACAUAUAAUAUUUAUUUCUAAUACAUUUUUUGAACUUUUUUGAAUUAGUGCCUUGCUUUUAUGAGGCAAGUGCCUUUUUGUUGCCCAAUACCUUGGGUGAUAUAAGUUUUCUCUAGUCUUAUUGGCACCUUUUGCUUUCGACCACCUUGGCUCUAUGUUACUCAAAUGAUGCAUGAAAAUUUUGGUUUGCUUCAUUGAGCAGUGCUAUUAAGGAUAUGGAUGAUUUUUGCAUAACCCACAUGUAGCCACUAUUUGUGUCUCAUUUAUCAAUAAAUAUGAAAGGGUUUUGGUAGUUCGAUCCCUGAUUUUCUACACUUUUCUUGCCUUCUUUCCUCAUUUUCUUCAAAUGUAUAAUGCCGUAACAUUUUGCAUUGAAAUUAUGCAUGAAUUGUCAUUGAUACUUUGGUGUACAGGGUCAACUAUUUCAAUAUUUUUUUGGUGGAAUGUAACUCUUGAUGGUUAUUUAUGAGUAUCAUGUGACUGUUAUGCGCCCCCAUGCUUCCAAUUUUACAGGAAAAUAUAAUUCUCUCAACUAUCUUAGGCAAGAUUCUAGCUUUGCACUCAUGAAUUGUUUGCGUCUCAUUUUUUCUAGAUUUCUUGCUUUCAGACUUAUGCAUGUCCUCUGUUCUCUCUGUGUUUUCACUCUGCAUUCUUAACUAUAUGUUUCUGGUUGAGUUUGCACACACACCCCCCCCCCCGGGGGGGGUUAGAGUGUCUAUCCAUGAUAAAGAACAUUCCAAGCUUCCUAAUACCGUUUUUGAAAGCUCCCUUGUUUGUUUUCUAGAUACGGGCUUAUGCGGCGAUCUGGGGAUUGCAUAGUAGGGACUUGAUGGGAUACUGCAAGUGCCUAGUCUUUUGGUGAUGUAUGCUGUUCUAUAAAUUGAGAAAAGUCUUGGAAACCUGACUUUUUUAAAUACCACAUGUUAUAUGGCAUUUGGCUAGUACCCAUUGGAGUUGAGUGGGACUGAAUGGAUGGGUUGCAAUUUAGAGCUGGAUUACUCAGAACUAAGUGGAAAUGGGACUUGCCAAACAGUGGUAGAAAGAUUCAUCAUUUCUUCUCCAAGUUCACCUCACUUGUAGGAGUUGCGCUCAGGAGCCUGGAUAUGGAUUUUGGUGGUACGGAUAGAAAAGUAUUUCUUCACUUCUUGUAUGUUAUAGUAGAUUCUUUUAUUUUCUCCAUAGGUUUUUGCUGUCUGGUAGCUGGCAGUUAUAGUCUUCCUUGAUUACGGCUGCUGUCUUCGACAUCCAUCCAGUGUAGUUUCUCCAUUUACAAUGAUUUGAAGAAUGAAGAGAAUGGUCUAUUUUCCUGUGCUGCUAAAGUUAUUUGAGUAUCUCUUCUGUGAAUAUGGUACUGUGACGUGGAAGAGGUGUUGAGGCUUUUGGAUCAAGUUGAAAAAGCAACUUAAUGGAUAUUGUGGAUUUUGAAUUCAGUUGUUUCUGAAACUUUUGCAGAUCACAAUCAAGAUCCAGAUCACCAAUUGCUUCAGUAAGUUUUAUCCUACAUUAGCAUUCCAUUGUUUCUUCCUCUUCCUCCUUGUUGAUCCACUGGAAUGUAAUGUGCAGCCCCCGCGGGACAAACGAGUGAGCAAAAGGCCAAGGAGGCAGAGCCCGAGCUGGAGCUUAUCGCGUUCUAUAUCUCCUGCUGUAUGAGCCUACUCACCUGCUCAUUUGUUCCUUGGUCAUAUACAACAUUGUGAUCUUGAUUUGUUUUGUUUUGUUUUGUUUUUUUCGGGGAGCAGAUGUCUGAUCGUAGCUGGUCUGUUGAUUCUCGAGACCUUUAAGGAGGAAAAGUAACUGCCUGAGCUGAAUAGGUGCAAAAAUUUACAGAAUACUCGAAAUACUCAUAAGACAUUUGGUUAUUGCUGUUAGAAAUGAUCUUAAAUGUUGUAAAUUAUUUGUGGAGUUGAUUGCAGGACAUGAUGCUGUUUGUGUGCUAAAAAUGCUUCUUUUCUGUUUACCGGUUGAUACUCAAAAUACUCAAGACAUUUGGUUACUGCUGUUAGAAAUGAUCUUAAAUGUUGUAAACUAUUUGUAGAGUUGAAUUGCAGGACAUGAUGCUGUUUGUGUGCUAAAAAUGCAUCUUUUCUGUUUACCGGUUGAUAUUCCGGGUAUUGAUGCUGUAGUUGGUAGGAUCUUAUCAUCCUUAUACAUUGCAGUAAGUUUACUCUUGAAGCUGCCUUUUAUUAAUUAGUAAGGUGGGUAACUAAUGCAUAUUGUUUGACAUGCUUGCAACUUAGAAUCCACGUGUAUAAUCCUGAAGUUUGUGUAAAUGAGGUUUGAAUUCAGCAAAAGGAAAUUUGACUUCCUUUACAAAUUGCGCGAGACUCCGAGGGGCGCGGAACCUCAGACUGCCUUUGGCGUAUGGAUGGCCGGCAACUUCCUGAGGCGCGAUGGCAUUGGUCUGCCGUAAGCUUUGCCUAAAAUCUCGAAGCCAAUCCAGAUUUUUUAGGUUCUCCAAUCCCCAUGGAUGGAGAGAGAGAGAAUAUCAGGAGAUUUUGGCAUGAACUUCAAGAUUCUACCUUUACUAGAAGAUUUGUGGUUUGAGUAGAAUCCAAAACCCUCUACAAGAUGCUCCCUCAAACAGCUGACUGAUUUGGUUGGUAUCUAACCUUUCUCCCUUCGGGAAGAGAAGAUCGUAAACCCAAAGGCCGUUCAUGGCUUUGUCAUUGUUCAUAGUCGAUAUGAGGCUCAUCGAGAGUGAGUCCACCUAAGGGUUUUUCACCACAUCUAUAUUUCGUUCAUUACCGAUCAGUCACUUGGAGUUAGCGAAGGCAGUGGGCACAUAUAUGCAGAUCUCUUGUCAAAGAUAAGAAUAUCUCUGGCUACUCUGAAAUGCCCCAUCAAUUUGUGCCAGGCCGUAUUGGGUUGUCAUCACCUGACUCUAAAAAUACUGUAGCUCGAACAAAUUUUACCGCAUGUCGAGCAAUCACAUCUCUUACCUCAUUAGAAGACUCUCUACCUUUAGACUUUUCUCGCAGGUUAGUUGACAGGUUGUUUUCUAAGCUAGCAGAUGCAUAUCGUGACUGCCACUAUAGGAUCCCCAGAGAAAAUUUCGAAGAAGCCGCUCAAUUCUUAUCAGCAUAGUCUUUGGAACUUUAGUGUUGGAUAUGAGGUAUGCAGACAUGGAGUUCAGGACUGACCUGAUCGGUGUCAAUCUGCUUAUCAUGGAUAACGAGGCCGCCCCUCUAACCCUCCGACCGCUUUUGGAUAUGCUGUAACAAGCUGAAGCAUUUUGUCACCCGCAGCCUUCUCCCUGUGUUGGGGGCGCCCAAGUAGCUCCAAGGUCCAUCGUGCUUCUUUAUGCCAAGAAACCCUCUGAUCUUCUGCCUCACCCACAACUCCAUCUUCGGACUAACACAAUAGUAGACUUGUGAAUAUUCACUCUAUAUCUUGAUGCCUCAUAGUAGUCCUCCAAUACCUCUCUGAGGGCCAAUGCAUCCAUCAUUCUCGUCCUGACCAGGAGGAGGCAGUCGUUUGUAAAAAGGAGGUGAGAGAUCGGUUGGGCAUUGGGGGUUGGAACAUAAGCGUCCAACUCCUGCUCCCGACAAGCAGUUCGCAGGGCGCGAGAAAGCACAUCAGCAUAGAUAAUGAAUAAAUAAGGAGACAAAGGACAACCCUGGUAAAGCCCGAUAGUGGAACGAAAGAAAGGUGGCAAUGUCCUAUUGACCUGGAUGGAGGACGGCUCCUCCAUACAGCCUAGAACUCAGGCAAUUUAGGUCUCAUGGAAACUAAAGCUCUCUAAUGCACGCGUGAGGAAUGACGCGUUCGCAAAAAUGCUUUCGCGAAACUAAUCUCCCAAGUAUAGGAGAAUCGUACAAGUAGUAAAUUCUCGGGAGUCCGAGGUCGAAUCCUCGUGGAACUAGGGCUGUCAACGAGCCGAGCCGAGCCCGAGCCACAGCAGGCUCGGCUCGGCUCGUUCUAUAAAAGUCUGGGCUCGGGCUCGGGCUCGGGCUCGGUACCGAGCCCUGUGCUGGGCUCGGGCUCGGGCUCGCCUGGCACAGCUCCGGCUCGGGCUCGAGCUCGUGAGGCUCGUUUGNNNNNNNNNNNNNNNNNNNNNNNNNNNNNNNNNNNNNNNNNNNNNNNNNNNNNNNNNNNNNNNNNNNNNNNNNNNNNNNNNNNNNNNNNNNNNNNNNNNNNNNNNNNNNNNNNNNNNNNNNNNNNNNNNNNNNNNNNNNNNNNNNNNNNNNNNNNNNNNNNNNNNNNNNNNNNNNNNNNNNNNNNNNNNNNNNNNNNNNNNNNNNNNNNNNNNNNNNNNNNNNNNNNNNNNNNNNNNNNNNNNNNNNNNNNNNNNNNNNNNNNNNNNNNNNNNNNNNNNNNNNNNNNNNNNNNNNNNNNNNNNNNNNNNNNNNNNNNNNNNNNNNNNNNNNNNNNNNNNNNNNNNNNNNNNNNNNNNNNNNNNNNNNNNNNNNNNNNNNNNNNNNNNNNNNNNNNNNNNNNNNNNNNNNNNNNNNNNNNNNNNNNNNNNNNNNNNNNNNNNNNNNNNNNNNNNNNNNNNNNNNNNNNNNNNNNNNNNNNNNNNNNNNNNNNNNNNNNNNNNNNNNNNNNNNNNNNNNNNNNNNNNNNNNNNNNNNNNNNNNNNNNNNNNNNNNNNNNNNNNNNNNNNNNNNNNNNNNNNNNNNNNNNNNNNNNNNNNNNNNNNNNNNNNNNNNNNNNNNNNNNNNNNNNNNNNNNNNNNNNNNNNNNNNNNNNNNNNNNNNNNNNNNNNNNNNNNNNNNNNNNNNNNNNNNNNNNNNNNNNNNNNNNNNNNNNNNNNNNNNNNNNNNNNNNNNNNNNNNNNNNNNNNNNNNNNNNNNNNNNNNNNNNNNNNNNNNNNNNNNNNNNNNNNNNNNNNNNNNNNNNNNNNNNNNNNNNNNNNNNNNNNNNNNNNNNNNNNNNNNNNNNNNNNNNNNNNNNNNNNNNNNNNNNNNNNNNNNNNNNNNNNNNNNNNNNNNNNNNNNNNNNNNNNNNNNNNNNNNNNNNNNNNNNNNNNNNNNNNNNNNNNNNNNNNNNNNNNNNNNNNNNNNNNNNNNNNNNNNNNNNNNNNNNNNNNNNNNNNNNNNNNNNNNNNNNNNNNNNNNNNNNNNNNNNNNNNNNNNNNNNNNNNNNNNCGUGGAACGAAAUAUAUAUGAGAUUAUUUAGUAUAAUUUAGGUUAAUUAAUUCAAUAAAUUUAUGGAUUAAGAUGAUGUUUUUGCAAACAUAAAAUAAAUCAGUAAAUAGAGAAUUGAAGUUUGGAUAGAUUAAGAUGGUGUAGGGAUCUAGAAUCUCUUUUGAUAAUAUCAAAUUCAUGUGAUAAAUUCUAUGAUUUUUUUAUUUUUUUAAAUUAUAAGCAGAUAAAAUUUAAUUAUGGAGUAUGUUCUUGAUAACACGAAUUCUCUUUCUAAGUAUUCAACGUACCUUAUAACGUCAACGAUGAAUCAAAUAAUCGAGGAAGACAUGUAUCAAUAAGCAUAAAUCAUAAAAGAAUUUUCAACAUAUAAGAAUCAUGGCAUAAUCAAAAAGAUAAAUCGUAUAAAGCAAAGGAGUAGAAUUUACAUCAUGAAAAGGAUCUUCCUUCAUGCAUCACCUAGGACUUUAGCCGAUCAUCUUCCUCUCUCUUUCUCACUUUUAUUUUUUUUUUUUCCCGGUUGGAAGAAAUUACCAAAAAAGAGAGCUCCUCUCGAAUGAGAGCAAUAGGCUGUUCGGCACCCUAUUUCCAUUCGACUCCACAACCCUGGUUGUUUCUCGACUCUAUCCUCUGCAACUUUAUCUAACAAAUUUCCUAACAAAUCACAGGAUGACGUGGACGCAGGGAAGAUUAAGCGGAGGAUGCACACGGUGAACUUGGACUCUCUCGAUCGCCAAUGGAUGCUUGGAUGCGGAAUGUGGACCCGAACUGCUGGAUUGCCGGAAGAUGGUAGUUGAAGCUGAAAUGCAACGGACUCUGGAGGACGUUGGGAGGACUCUCGGAGGAAACUGCCGGCUGCUAAAUCAAUGGGAGAAAAGAUCGAAAGCUAAUCCACACGCGGAAGGCGCUCGAUCUGAUCCGCGGAUGUGGGGGGGCGUUGCAACUCAGAUGCUCUGUUUUGGGAAGAAACAGGGGAAUAGGCGGACACGGCUGCGAGAUGUUGGUGGCGGCCGAUUCGUAGACGACUGGGAUGCAGUGAUGGCUGUGAAGAAGCUGGGUUGGAUGCGGAAGAGAAGCUGAUCCGGACACCUAUGGAGCUGGGUGACUGGCAGGCUGGGAAGCGGAAGAAGAGUCAUGGACUCUAUUCUGCAGCCGGAAAGAUUGCAUUCUUUUUAGAUGAAUUUAUAUAAAAUAAUGAUAAAAAUUAUAAUAAAUGCUAAGGAUAAAAUAUUUAAUCAUGCAAAUGUUAACACCUAUUAUUUAUCAUUAUUUUGCUAGUAUUAGGCUAAGUUAAUUGGUAGUUAGAUCGCACUUUUGUGCUCUCAUCAAGAAAGCAUCAGCAGACUCUAUCGUAGGCCCUCUUCAUAUCUAGCUUGACCGCCAUAUAACACUGCUGCCUUGGGGCCCGCUGUAGGUCCCAUAUCAUUUUCUGGGCAAUCAGGACAUUGUCGGUGAUGCUCUGCCCUCUCACAAAAGCCUUAAGCCUUUGCUCCUGAUAGAUGAGACCGUAUAGCAAGGGCUUCAUCCUGUCCACUAGAAUCUUGAUCACCACCUUGUAAAGGGUAGUGCAAAGACUGAUGGGCUUAUAGUGGCUGGGCUCCGCCUCAUCUAGGCGCUUCGGGAUUAGGGUGACGAAGGUUGUCAUUCCAGUCGCCAGCCAUUAACGCCAAUUGAAAAACAACUAAACUGCCUCCACCACUACCCUCUCAAUAAUGCACCAGUACCUCCUCAAAAAGAAGAGGGGAAAACCGUCCGACCCUAAGGUUUUGUCCUCCGCCCGAGCCCAAACAGCCUUUCACAUCUUCAACUCUGACAUAGCUCUAAUUAAGGCUGCAUUCUCUGCUGCCCCAACUUCGAAAUCCGACUGCAGAAGAUAGGCAGUCACAUUUGAGUCAUUGUCCUCUGUCAACCAAGACCUGAACAAGUCAACCAUAACUCAUCUGAUCGUGCUCUCCUCCACCCGAUGGAAUCGGACGUCGAGCUUUGGGUCGUUUGUUAGACGGACCUUGGCCCACUUUCGACAUGUGGACCUCUGGGCCGGCCGCACCCCAACCGACCAUUGCCAUCUGCAUCGCUUGCCAAGCCUCCCAGGUCCAACAAUGGAUCAAAGCCUGACCCGACUCGGCCACCACCUAGUGUCGAUCCGAAAUCGAAGCCUAAGUCACCACCCUCACCUGUCGGCUGGUCCUUGGGCGGGGAACGACGCCGAGCCACCUUCAUCGAUUUCUGCCAAUCGUCCGAGUUCGGCGACGAGCUAAGGGAGCUCAGGCGGAUGGGCGGAGACUGUAGCCUCGAAGAAGACGACUCAGGCAUAAACUAAGUCGUCUUUCUCGGUUGCGGCGGACCCUUCGUAGCUCGUGGCGGUCGGAUCCGCAUGGAUGCUAACCACGGGCCGAAGAUCAGUCGUCGGGUCUCCUCGCCUGAGCUGGAGUCCGGCUUCCAUAGGUCAUUGCCGAUCUCCACCACCAUAGGUAUCUGCUCCAACCCCUCCAACGCUGGCGUCGGAAGCCUGCAGGACGCCUCCGCAUGCCCUAUCCACCCGCAGCCGUAGCAGAAAUCAGGCAUGUUUUCGUAGACGAAGGGCUACCAGAGCAUUCUCGCCUUCCCUCUAAUUUGGAUGCCGGGAAGCAACGGCACGGUGGAUCGAUGGCCACCUUCACCAUGGCAAAUCUCAUGACUUUCUGCUGGUCCGUGAUCCUGUCAAUGAUGAGCGGUUGAUCCACCACCGUUGCGAUUCGAAGGAUCGUCUUGCUAGACCAAUACUGCACUGGGAGCUGAGACAAGUGGAUCUAGACCACCGUCUUUUCAUGGCGUCCAGUCCCGGCAUGGAAUUAGGAGCACACGACUCCAUGACCGGCAAUUGGCCCGCCACCACCCAUGUCCCGCCGGUCAAAACUCGUCUCGGUCAGCCGUCGAUUUAAAGCAGAGGACAAGGAAGCCGUUGGCGAGGAAAAUUGCUUCCACCUCGGCCUUCGUCUUCCCCAAGAGGGCAACAUCCCAGGCCACCCACUUCUCCGGCACUCGGCAUCCUAAGUUGUAGACCACCACUACCCGAUCCUCCCACUCUCUUUGCAAAGCCUCGAUCGGCUCCUCUGGUUGCUCGAGGACUGGCAAGAAGAUACACCAGAGCUUCUCCACCUCUGCCUCCGAAAUCGCCCUACCACUCAUCUCCUCCCCCCUCAUCGGUGGAUCCCGGCUCCCACCUGCUGCAGCGCUGCCCACCGUCUUGCUCGCCUUGGCCUUCUAUGCCAUCGCCAAUCACGCAUGAUUCUCAAAGCUUUCGUCGGAGCAAACUAGUUGUUUUCUACUCUCCUUUUGUUAGUGCUCUUAAUUGCUGAUAUUAUUUCACCCUCGUUGAACAAAUGCAUUUGUCCACCACUGUUUGGGUGGUAUUCAGUUGGCUAAUCAAAAAAAUUCAAGUUAUCUACUAUUGAACCAGUAACCAAAUGCAGUUUAAGAUAUUUUCCAUUUUUUUUUUAAAGGUCACAAUGGUUCUUAAAUAUUGACGAAGGUGGCAUUUAAUUCCAUCACACUUUGUAUGCUUAUCAAAGACUUUUUGAUUGUAGAAAAACUUUAUAAAGGAUGAUCUAGUCAUUAAAAAGUUCAGUUACAAAGCAAUAGUAUGACAAAAGUUGCAAAAGUCCUUGUUGCAACAGUAGAGAUAACCUCUGAUCUGAGAUUUUUAAUUGUUUACCAAUAAAUUCACAAGUUGAGCAUCAACUUUGUAGGGUUGACAUAAGAGAAAUUAUCGGUCUUCUGUAGAACAUAAAAUUUUGAUAAGUAUAGAGAACAAGUUAGAUGCUGGACAAUUCUAUUCUACAUGGUCAGGUGUAACCUAAGUAAUUAUAUAUAGUGUUUCAAUAACCCAACCUAAGUAAUCAAGUUUCCAUCAGCUAUAGUAUUGACCUGCUCGGUUAUCAGAAGUGUGGCUUGCCGGAUUUUCACCAAGUCUUUGCAAUGAAUACCAAACUGAAGUGGUUCUUUUUAUGAGUAUGGCGUGAAAUGUUGCAUACUGCAUUAGUAAUGUGAUGGUUAUAUACAACGUAUAUGUUCAAAUCUUGCAAUCAUCGAAGUUUGGAGGAUUAGAGAUAUUCGAACCCCAUUGUCCAUCGAACUCUUGUCAAGCAUGCUGAAGAAGUAUUUAUGCAAUUGCAGACUUUUAAUUUCUGAGCAGCCUAAGCAAACAUGAGGCAUCCCUGUCAACCUAUAGGUUGCCAGAAGGUGUUGGUCAGAUCUCUCUAAUAUAAGACUUUCCAGCUUGAAGUAGGUAACCUCAUUGGGAGACAAUACCAAUUCAAAAAAGUAGCUACAGAUUGAAACUAAAACAAUCAAUCAGUCCAUCCUUUGAAUAAGGCAAAAACUCAGCCAAAUAUGAACUGACAGGAGCUAAGCGUUUUUUAAAAAGAUUUCAAAGAGCAGUAUGAUUCCCUUCUUUUUUUUAGACAAGGGAUUUUAGGAUGACAUUCCUGAUUUUUAUCACUGGGACAGAUUCAACAGAAGUAAUUAAAACCUGCCCACCUCUCCCAAAAUCAUCCCAGCAAUCUCCAAGCAUAAAUAAUGUCAUAGCCCCUACAGAGUUAUAAACAGGUUUUCAGCUGAAUUACUUCCAAAAGAUCGUUUGGAGUCUCAGUUCUAAGAGGCAACCCAGCCUUAUAAAAAAGUCAUUUUCAGUUUAAAGCACUGCUUCUGCAGCAUGUCAUGAACUUCGCCAUCAUAUGAAGGACUGCAUUCGAGUGACAUGCAUAGGCUGAUAAGACGAGCUCUACGACCAGCCUCGGGAUGAUGACCUCUCAGAGCCUACCCGGGGCCACAGACCUGCCCUGUGACUGGAAUCUGAUGCACCAGUAGAUUGCAUAUAAGGUCCCCACCAUCCUGAUUCCCUGUCCACAGGAAAUAAUUGAUAUGGAACAAAUCGGUCCCUUUCCCAUGAAGUAUAUAAGUGGUGCCCUGCAGUGUUCUCAGCAUCUAUUAGAUUGUGACCUGAUUGACCUGCAGAAGGGAGCAGGUAAAAGCCAGCCUGAUCCGUCAGAGAGACCGGUGUUGGAGCUAAGGUAGCCAAACCCCUCGAACCUCCCGAUCGCUGUAUGCCUGUGAAGAUGGUUCCAUGUAUGCUUUGGGAAUUUUGAUGAUCAUGAACAGCGCCACGAGCUCUGAGAUAUGGUGGAACUGGCGAGGGAACAAAAGAACUGGGGGAUCUACCCCUAGAACCAGAUCUGGGGUAAAAAUUGAGGCAAAUAUCAGUCAGCAUCAUCAGAGACCAGGAUAUCUUACACACAAAAAAAGGACACUUCUGUUUUCAUGUUAUGUUGCUGAAUCUCAUAGAAGCAGGGAUAAUGCCAACCAAGACAUUAGAUAGCGAUGCAAAGCAAGAAGUGACAUUCUAGUACUAAGAGACUACAAGCAGAAUCAGCAUUGGUGGGAUGCUGCUCUUUAAGAGGUAUGAAAUUAUACAGAGCUGAUAAGUUCACUGAAUUUAGAAUGCUCAGAGGAAAAUCAAUGGAUGCGAAACCUUAGGAGCCAAUUCUCAAACAUAAAUGUGAUGGAUACAGGAAAAGAAGGUGAUCAAAAAGCAGAAUGAUUGGCCAACAUAAGCUGCAAAUAGAACAGAAAGUGGGAUGGCUUAAAACCUUUGUCAAGGAAUUGCAUUUUGAGAACUAACGUUAUUAUUGUGCAUCACUGGAGAUUACAAAAAUCUAUGGACAUUGCUGUAAUAGAAAACAAAAUAUAAUUAGGAUAAUAUUCCAUUAUUUGAACUCGAGAUCACUUACCCGUGGCCAAGAAUAAAGGGAUGGACAAAAGGCCCUGCCCUCGGUAGACCAUCAGAAUCAAGCCUUGCAGCUCUCAUUGUUGGAGAAGAAGCUGAAGCCUGAUCAGCACCACUGAUAUGGCUGUUAGGUGGGGAAUAUGACUGAGAAUGCUGUUCCCAACUAUGAUACUGGAGAUCAAUGGGAGGUAGUGUGUGAACAAUCUGGACAUCUGUCGGCCUAGGAAUGUGACUCCAGUGAUGGUGAUAUCCAGGACCAUCAAUAGGACUUUCAGAUGAAACAUGGGAACUUGAGGAAGAUGAAGGUUGGAGUGGCUGCAAGUAAGCCACAUAUGGGCAUGGAUGAGCUGCUGAUGAAGCAGCUGGAUGCUCUGUAAAGAUGGCUUGAUGUCCCAAAAGAUCCUGGACUGCAAAGCAGAAUAUUUUGAUAUGAUACUUACUCCUAUACUCCACAAUCAUACACAAUUAAUCAUUUUCAGAAAAAGUAUAAACUUACAAGAAAUAUGUGGAGAAGAUUCCCCUUCCCUGAAAAGGAAAAAGUCAAUGGAGUGGGAAACAAUGCCAAGAAAAAACAUAUCAUCCUAUAGUCAAUAUCAAUUAUUAAGACCAAGCAAGAAGACGUAUAUCAAGGUGAAAGAUUUCAAUCUCACAACACCUAUAAACCUCAGCACCAUAAAUACCAAUUAAAUUAUAUUCAUAUCUCAGAAUUGUCAUGAAGCGUUACAAAUUUAUUUGAAAAUGAAGAUCCAGUAAAAGAAGCAAGGCUCUCUCAUUUUGUUUAUUGACAUGGUAAGUAUUUGACUUGUACGUGUUGGCAUGCGCUACACAACCAGGAAAACUUAUUGUUUAGAGAUUUAGGAGUGCCAAUACUUUUGGACACAGCAUAGCAAGACAUCCCCUUGCCAUUUUUUAAAUGCAUUGUUCUACUUAAGGCAACCUGAGGUGUUGAAGCUUGAUAUAAUGUAUUGAGAUGUAACUCCCUACUGAAAGGCAUUUUAGUUCUCCACAUUUGGAGGUGCCACACAUGAUUGUUUUAAUGCAUCAACACACUCCAAGUGAAGUGCCAAAAUAUUUACUUGGUGUUAUCCUGCCUGAAAUUUUACUUCAUAUCAAUGUGUGUGUAUGUACUUAUGGAUUUCCUUGCUCUAUACAAACACAUUCUCAUGCUACUUUUUUUUUUUAAAAAAAAAAACUAGUGUCAGGCAUUUCAGGACAUCUUGAUGCUUAGCUAUUAUGACAAUAAAGGUCUAGCUACUGUACCAUCUACGCAUGCAAGUAAAUAGAAUAAAUAGGGAUUUGAGAAGGACUGGAACUAACCAACUACCAAAAUCUUAGCACCAACCAACAAAUGGGAAGAUUGGACCAAGAAAGAGAAUCUUAGCACUAACCAACUACCAAAAGACAUAUUUUUGAUAUCCUGGAUUUUUUGAUUCUAUAUUAAUCGAAUAUUGAUUAGUUGUACAAUUGAGUCUUAUUCUUUUAGCUAGCAUCUAAGCAUCAUCAGGACAUAUCUCAAUGGCAAUAGGCUGGCACCACAGCUUUGAGCCAUUCUCUCUAUAUUGGUUUUAGAUGCAUUAAUUGUUCAAGUCAGAGAGGAGGUUUUUCAGUGUAUGUACUAGCAGAAGAUUUAUAGUUGAUUAAAAGUUAUUAGCAAGGCGUUAGAUAUCACAAUGUAAUAAUGAAAAACAAACAGAGUUCUUAAUUAUGCAUGCAUGGAAAUUGAUGUUUAAGGAACAUUCUGAAGUCUCAAGACCAAUUAUCCUUUGUCACAAUUAAUUUUCAAAUUAAGACAUCAAGUAACAUAAUUAUUUUAAUCGACAUCACCAGGUGCAUAAACAACAAAACCAUUGAUUUAGUAACCGGACAACAAACAAAAAGUAGCAUCAUCUUCACUGGACAUAAAAAGUCUGCUUUGCCAGGAGUAUUCAAGAAGACACGGGAAGGAAAGAAUGCAUUAACACAAGAUUGAAAACAAUUGAUACACCAGCAAAGCAAAAUCUAGUUCCUCGAGCUGAUAUAUGUACAUAGCUAACAAGAAGUUUCCUAGGGGCAACCUUUACAAUAGAUAACCAUGUCGUCCUUAAGAAUAAUUGCCAGAGAAGCAUAUCUUAAAGCUUCAACAGAAGCAUGCUUACAUUUCAUAAUCUUUCAGAUAUUUAUACAUACCAGAUCCAACUAUAUUUCAUAUGUUUUCAGCUAGCAGCAAUGCCUCCAUAAAAGCAGAGAAGUGAUUCCAUCAAAAAAUAUUUAUGUUUCCAGAAAGGUAAGGGGAAGGAACCGAACUAAUCCUUGUACAGAAAUAUAUUACACUUACUCAAAUGAUGAUGCAGCCUGCGCUAAUCUGCUAAAUGGGCACCAAUGAACUCCAAAUGGCUGCAUAAACAGAUUAAAAGAAGAAAUCAAAUUAAGAAAUCAAAUGUUACAAGAUUCUGCUAUAUUUGGGGAUUAUCCCAAGGAUACAACUGUCAGUAAGAACCCUUAUAAACACUUAAGAACAUUUUUCCAAGAAUGGAAGAGAUUUUUAGAAAAAAGCCCGAACAUGAUACUUAACAAAUUAGUUGGAAAAAUUGAAGCUUAGCUGCAUGCACUUUUCCUGAUAUAGUUACUAACAUGAAAGAUGACUAAAACAGCAUUGUUUCUUCAACUAUAUGAUAAUAGAGACCUUUGAUUUGAGUAACAUACAACUGUCCUACAAAGAUAAAAAGAAAGCAACAGACAGCAUGCUUGUCAGCAUACUCGCAGGCCAAGUAAUGAAUGCAAGAUAUAAUGGGAAUACUGCAAUGUUGGGAAUACAUAUACGUGGAAGGAAUUGCUAGUUAGAAGCACUUCAAAUAUGCACCAGGGACAUCAAUUUAUGUUAUGAUAUUUAUAUCAAUGACAAUAACACAGAAAGAGCCAUCUGCAAAACGUUGUCUAGAGAGUCAUGCUCAAACAUUGCAUUUAAACAACAAAGCAAAGAUAAAAAUAGAGAAUCAAACUGCAGUCCUAAAGAAAGUAAACAGCAGCAGACAAUACUAACAGUACAUGCACAGCAUGGUGUAUCCUGAAAGAAACAAAACUAUUGAGAAAGCUUUAAGCAGCAUAUAACAUGCUGUUCAAAUCAUAAAGCACCCAGAAGAGGGUAAGAAUAUAGCUGUAGUCCAUCUGAUUUGAGUGUCAUGAGUCCUUAUCAAAUCAAAACUCAUGACUUUAGUUAGUAGAUUAGGGAGAGGGUGAGAAAGCAACAUGAGGAAGAGAACCUCACAUAAAAAAUUAAGUGUCCAGAAAGCAUAAUAAUAUUAAUUGCAAUAAACUAAAAGAAUCUACUCAUUUUCACAUUUUAAAGAAACACAUGACUCAGGCAAUCAAAAAGAAUUGGUCAGACAAAAGUUUAUCAUCAAAAAAGGCUGAUCUAAUAGAACAGAUGAAGUAACAGAAGAUAAUUUAAGAAAGAAGGGAAGUGUCAUGAAGUGGGUGCAGGAAUGAGAGUGUGAAUUUGGGAUGAAGCAGCAAAUUGAGCUGAAAAAUCUGGUUGCCAAUCUUGCAACUCCUAAGCAAGAUUUCUUUGACUUAGCCCUCUGUAUACCCUUCUACUCAAAAUCAACCUCAUUUAUCAUUAGGAAAUCAUCAGACAUGUCCGAGCAGACCAAACAACAUUUUCCCUUAAUCAUUAGGAAAUCGUCAAAAUGAGAAUAAUUAAAGCAGGAAGAAAAUUUUGAUACUAUCAAAACACAGUUAUAGCAGAACGACAGGAAAGAGAAAUGGAAAAAUAAAACCUAAUACUUUUAAUGAUGAGUGUUUGGACAACUAUAAGUAUCUUAAAAGUUAGUUAUUGCAUUUAGUUGAAAUCUCUGAAGUUUUCACAGACUGUGCACCAAUGGGCAAACAAUAAAAAUAAAUAAAUAGAACAAGUAAGCAAUUAAUGGGCACCAAAUCUAAUGAAUAAGAAAACUCUGUGACGGUCAAAGAACAGAACAGAAAAAAGAAACAUCUUUAAUGCUUUGGAAAGAAAAGCAACAUAUAUAAAUAAGUACAUGACUACACUAUAUAAUCAUAGAAAACAAAUAAAUCGAUCCGUCACUGUACCAUUUCUGAAUAACUAAGUUCAUAGAGGUCUUCAUCAUGUGCCCAGUCAUCCAUGCUCAGCUCUGGCAAUGGGCGUGAACUGCUUGCAUAUAGCCAAUUGCCAUUCUCGACUUUUCGACAAUUUGGGCAUUGCAUAACCCCUUUGGCAUUAAAUGCAGAGCCAAUGCAAUCUGAACAAUUUGUUAAAGAAACAGCAAUGAGUAAUCAGAUAAUUGUACAUUGUUGGAAGUGUUUCUAAAUUAUGUAAAUAUUUUUUAACAUUACAUUAACUGCACACAAGUUCAUGCAAUAUAUACAUGAAAGAGGAAUAGCAGCCAACAGGUGAACAUGAUAGCCAGUUUUAAAACCCAUGACAAAUGACAAGUCAAAGGAGUCCAACUUAUUGUACUAUUCGAACAUAAUGUAAACUUUCAAACCUUGUGAUUGAUAUUGUGUACUGAACUACUUUAUUAUUGAAAAAUAAUGUGUACAGAAAAUUUUACAUUAGGUGAAUACACAUUGGACCAGAACAAAAUUAUAAUUAUUCCAUAAAAAACAUUUGGGAUAUAGUUGAUAUCUUUGAGACAUUAAGUCAAAUCUAAAUUGGAACCUUUAAUAAAAUUUCUUCUGUUUUCUCUGCUUGCGAGGACUUAAUCAAAUUCAAGGGAAAAAAUAGCAAUGUAACUAGGAACUUGGGGAUGGUUUCAUGCCUGUCCCGACAUUCAUAAUUCAUCAAAGAUAUAUUUUUAGUGCUGAUAGUCAUAUCCAAAUUCCACCUAUCACUGUCAUCGAUCCUUCACAAUCUUCAUCAAUUCAUCUAAGAUCAUCCUUUAACAUGUUUCAUGGAGCAUGCUUUAAGCAUGUUAUACAUUAACCACAAAGUCUAAGUUUUGCCCUAGACCUUGAUGACGGACAACUGCAGGGGAAGAGGAGGAGGAAGAAGAAGGGAAGGGAAAGAAAGAAGAGGUUAUAGAGACGCAGAAAGAAGAGAGGAGGAGAGGAGAAGAGGAGAGGGAAGAGAGAGGAUAGAAGGAACGUGGGGGAAGAAAUCUUAAUUCACUUUCAUUAAACCCUAAUCACAAUGAGGAUCCCAUAUAUAUAGGGCCCAAACAAGAAAAUUAACACAGAACCCCUUACACAAAAAUAAUUUCCAAUAAAGCCCAAAAUAACACAAAUAAAGCCCUACAACAAUAAAAAUAUAAACAAGCCCAAAAAUAAAACAAAAAAAUAUAAUCAAAAUAAAAAUGUUGGAUUAGACGGGCGGAUGAUCAGCUCUGAUGUCCCCAUCAACUCCUUCCGGAUGGAAAAAACUCGACCUCGUCGAGUACAAAUCGGGCUGGUUGUCGUAUUGCUCCAAGAGAUCGGGAUCAAGGCGCUGCAACUCAGCUCUGGAGAUCCACGUCACGUCAGACUUUGGUCGGCCUUUCCACCGAACAAGGUAACGUUGGUAACCACCGUUCCUGGUUAACAUAACCUGCUCAUCUAAUAUAUAUUAUAUUUAUUCUUUGAGUGCAUAAAAUUUGGAAAGUGGUGGCUCAAGAGCAGGUAAUGGGUCAGGGUGAUCAAAAAGGGCAGAUGUGUCAACAAAGGGGUCAGAAUGAAUAAUUGUUGUCUUUUUGUAGGAGAUUAAAUCUUUAAUAUUAAAUAUCACACUAAUUCCAUAGUCAUCAGGAAGAUCCACAGCAUAUGCAUUCGAAAUAAUUUUCCAUAGGACUUUGAACGGUUCCGCGCUACAAGCUUGCAAUUUCUUGAACGUUUCCGAAGAAAGUUGUUCAAGCCUAAUUCUUAUCAUGACGUAACCUCUUUCACUUAGCUCUUUAUAACGUUCGCGUAAAUCAACAAGAAAUUUAUAUUUUAAGUUAUUAAAGUGAAUGCAUUUGCUGAUUUCUUGAUGCAAUGAAUGUGGGCGCAAUGCGAAUAACUGUGCAGACUCAGACACUCUAUACUAAUGAGAUAUGGGAAUCAGGUCUAUGGACUGCCUAGGUUUGCAACCAUGCACCACAUCGAAUGGACUCAUGCCUAUGGACUUAUUGAGCGAACUAUUAUAUGCAAACUCAGUGGUCGGUAACACUAAACUCCAGGUCCUAGCAUGUUCACUUACCAGACAUUUUAACAGGCUUCUAAGGCUACGGUUGACAACUUCAAUCUGGCUGCCGGUUUGAGGAUGAUAAGCAGAAGAAAAUUUUAGUUUGGUGCCUAUCAGCAUCCCUAUUAGACAAUAGAUUUUGGAGGGUCAGGGGGUCUAACGACUUCAUCGAAAUAAAGUUUGGCAAUUCUAGAAACAUCAGAAGUCUUAGAACAAGAAACAAAAUGAGCCAUCUUUAAAAAUCGGUUCACAACCACAAAAAUAAAAUCGUGCUUAGUAGAAGUAUGUGGAAGUCCUAACACGAAAUCCAUAAUGACAUCUAGCCAUGGGCAUUCGGAACAAAUCCGAAUAUGAUAGCACCAACUCUUCAAAUCAAUCUUAGAAAAGAUCGUGGCACCCGACAGAAUCUAAAAGAUCGUUUAGCCUAGGAAUGGAAAACCGAUACUUAACCAUGAGUUUGUUGAUGGCACGGCUAUCAACGCACAUUCUUCAAGAACUAUCUUUUGUGGUGGUACCAACUCUUCAAAUCAAUCUUAGAAAAGAUCGUGGCACCAAAUAGAAUCUAAAAGGUCGUUUAGCCUAGGAAUGGAAAAGCGAUACUUAACCGUGAGUUUGUUGAUGGCACGGCUAUCAACGCACAUCCUUAAAGAACUAUCUUUUGUGGUGGUACCAACUCUUCAAAUCAAUCUUAGAAAAGAUCGUGGCACCAAACAGAAUCUAAAAGGUUGUUUAGCCUAGAAAUGGAAAAGCGAUACUUAACUGUGAGUUUGUUGAUGGCAUGGCUAUCAAUGCACAUCCUUCAAGAACUAUCUUUUGUGGGGUUGAGGAGUGCAAACACAGUAUAGGGGCUUAGGCUCUCACAAUCAUACCCUCUUGCGAAGAGUUCGUCAAGUUGAUGUUUCAACUUAGCGCAUGCAUUUAGGCUGAGCCUAUGAUAAGGAAGGGUAGGCAAAGGUGCUCAGAGGACUAACUCAAUUGCGUGACGGAUAUAACACAUCGGAGGAAGUGCAUCCGGGAAAUCAUCAGAUAUUACAGAAUGAAACCCCUCUAGAAUGGGAGCCAUCGCAUGAGAAUGGUCAAGGUUGGAUUCCUCAUUGAUAGCUUUAGCCACAUGUGCCAACACAGGAGACUGACCCUCGAAAUCUUUUACUACCUCUUUCGAAGUAGUAAUGUGAAAUGGUAUGUUUGUACUUAGGUCAACAGUUUUCUUUUGAAGAUCAUUCUGGACAAAUUCAAAUCCGGUGGAUUCGUCUUCAAAGUCUUCUACAUAAUCUUCUAUGAUUGGUUCAUAGACUUUUUCGACAUAUUCGGUCUCUUGGUUUCCAGCUUCUGGUUCAGUAGACAGGUAGGUCUUAAUGGAACAUUGAGACGCUAUGCGGCCGAAUUAUUGACACCUAGAGCAUUGGGUUUGGUUCCUAGAGGAAUGAGGACGAACUAUAGGUGGAGCGGCCAAACUGAUUUUAGGUUGGGCUGCAACGGGGGUUGGCGGUUUAAGGGUCCUAACAUUUCGCAUGAGCUCACUGACCUCUUGUUUGAUUUCUUUCCUUCGAGCUUGUAUGGCAGCGAACUGGUCCAUGAGAAAUUUCAGGACUUCAAAAUCCAUGGUAGCUAAGGAGACUUUAGGUUGGUCGGCUUGGUACUCCUUAUCACCAUGUGUUGAUAUGUAAUGAUAACACUAUGUAUGAUGAUGUAAAAUGCAAUGUUACUAAUGAAACCCUAAAAAAUAUGAUGCAGAACCAAAUUUGAUGUAGGACAACCUACUAAUACAAUCUACUAUGAUUUCAGAGAUCAGCAAGUUUUCAUUAGAAUAACUUAAACUUUAAAUGUUGCUGAUUUUUACCUCGGUUAUUCGGAAUUAAGGAUUAAGAUUAUUCAAUUUACGAAAUUAGAUUGCAAUCAAGUAGUACAGUUACUCUGAUCCUAAAUCAAUAUGAUCGAAGAAUGUUGAGGAACAUUCAGUUGCUAGGGUGUGCUAAUUUAAUAUCUAGAUUUUAAAAUGACGAAUAGGAUGGGUUUGAGAGUAGGGGUUCUAUGUUCUGAAUUUUGAUAGCAAAAGUAAGUUUCAAGAAUAUGACUAUCAUGCAAGAGAACUAGAACAUAAUUAAAUGAACAAGCCCAAGAAAAGUGGAAACCUAUCACUUGUCGUGAAGCGGACGACCAGAAUUACUCGGAGGCUGGGGCGACGAUCAGGGACACGGCUGCGGCUGAUGAACUCUCAAAAUGGCUCCAAUUGGUUCUUAACACAGCAACUCGGCAGGUCUGAUCUCGGUAACUCAGAAAAGAUGUGACGGGCUUGAUGACAGUGGCCCGUUUGCAGAAAAAAAGGGGCAGCGGGCUGUGGGCCUGAUGAAAGGAUGGGUGACUUGGGCCAGUGGGCCGAAGGGUAGGAACUGGCGGUGUGGGCCUGAUGGGCCCACGGAUGAGAAUAUGGGGCGGCCUGGUGUGGUGUGGAAUCGGACGAUUGGGCCUUUGAAGAGGAGUGGGGGUGAAAGCGGGCUCGACCCUGAUGACAGAGGCGGUCCGUGAAAGAAAGAGGGGGGGAGUUGUGGGGUCGGGAUCUGGAGCCAAGGGUUUCAACCGAAACCCUUGGGGUGGUCAAAUGGGAGGGAAGGGACUCGAGGGGGGGGGUGACCAGAGAAGAUGAAGGAGGAAGGGGGGAUGCGGCGCUGGGGAAGGCAGAAGCAGUGAUAGAGGCGGCGUGGUGCGGCAGAGUGGGGGACGGGCGGGGUGCGGCGAAAGAUUUCGGGCGGGGUGCGGCGAAAGAUUUGGGGCGGCAAGCGAGGGGAAGGUGGGAAGCGGCGACGGCGGGUGGUUGCAGAGGGGCGGAAUGGCGCUGCGAACGACGAAGGCGGUGAAGCGGUGAGGCAAAAACGCGGAGGUGGUGGAGAUCUCGAGGAAGACGGUGAGCAAGGCGGCACGGCGAGGACGGCGGGGCGAGGGCGCUGCGGCGACUGGAGAAGACGAUGACAAGUACUUUGUUUUUUCUCUUUUUUUCUUUUCUUUUUUUUCUUUUUUUUUUAACUUCGGUAUUCCGUUAGGNNNNNNNNNNNNNNNNNNNNAACUCGGAUCCGUUAGGAUCCGGAUUAUCGGGUUUGACACGACCCGAUACCCGUUACAGGUUUGUCACGUGUAAAUCACCUGCGCUUUUUUUUGAAACGGAUCCGAGCCGAGGGACUCGGGUUAACGAGUCUGGGGCUUACCCGUUAGGCUGGUUUUCUCCAACCCCCUGAUAGUUUCGGAAGAGCGCUCCGAACUUCAUGACGCUGACGGCGGCCGGGGAUCUAGGACUGGGGGCGACGGCUGCACGAGAGGGUUGUGGCGGCUGAAGAGGUGGCGAGGCAGCGACGGGAAGAAGCGAUGGCGUUGCUCCUUCCGAUCUGACCACGGGCGGUGGUCACAGAGGUGCGGCCGGUGGCUUUCCCAUGAGACUGAGUGUCGUGUAGUUGACACCAGGGCGGCGGGCUCUCGUGGGGUUGCAGCGUCUUCAGUUGGUGGGCCGACGACGAGGCGGCGCUGCGAGGUGGAGGCGAGCGAGGCUACGGGCACAGUGACAGGUGACCAUGGGAACCGGAAGGAACCAGCAAAGGGGGUUUUGUCCCCUUCUCCUGGUGAGAACCGAGAGAGAAAAAGUGGGACCCUUUCUUUCUUCUGAUCAACAGAAUUGACAGAGAGAGGGGGGCGGUUCUGGUUGUUGGUGGGAGCCGAGGGAGAGAAGAGAAUCUGGAUCGUGGCUUUGGCAGCAGGGGCAAAGUCGGCCUACUCUGAUACCAAGUUGAUGACAGACAACUGGAGGGAAAGAGGAGGAAGAAGAGGUUAUAGAGACGCAGAAAGAAGAGAGGAGAAGAGAAGAGGGAGGUUUGAGGAAAGAAAGAACGUGGGGGAAGAAAUCUUAAUUCACUUUCAUUAAACCCUAAUCACAAUGAUGGUCUCCUAUAUAUAGGGCCCAAACAAGAAAAUUAACAUAGAACCCCUUACAUAAAAAUAAUCCUCAAUAAAGCCCAAAAUAACACAAAUAAAGCCCUACAACAAUAAAAAUGUAAACAAGCCCAAAAAUAAAACAAAAAAUAGAAUCAAAAUAAAAAUGGACUGACGGACGGAUGAUCAGCUCCGAUGUCCCCAUCAACUCCUUCCGAAUGGAAAAAAACUCGACCUCGUCGAGUGCAGAUUGGGUCGGCUGUUGUACUGCUCCAGAAGAUCGGGAUCAAGGUGCUGCAACUCAGCUCUGGAGAUCUACGUCACAUCAGACUUUGGUCGGCCCUUCCACCGAACAAGAUAACGUUGGUAACCACCGUUCCUGGUUGACAUAACCUGCUCAUCUAAUAUAUGUUCUAUUUAUUCUCUGCGUGCAUGAAAUUUGUAAGGUGGUGGCUCAACAGCAGGUAAUGGGUCAGGGUGAUCAACAAGGGCAAGUGUGUCAACAAAGGGGUCAAAAUGAAUAAUUGUUGUCUUUUUAUAAGGAAUUAAAUUUUUAAUAUUAAAUGUCGCACUAAUUCCAUAGUCAUCAGGAAGAUCCACAGCAUAUGUAAUCGAAUUAAUUUUCCAUAGGACUUUGAACGGUUCCGCACUACAAGCUUGCAAUUUCUUGAACAUUUUCGAAAAAAGUCGUUCAAGCCUAAUUCUUAUCAUGACGUAACCUCUUUCACUUAGCUCUUUAUAACAUUCGUGUAAAUCAGCAAGAAAUUUAUAUUUUAAGAUAUUGAAGUGAAUGCAUUUGCUGAUUUCUUGAUGCAAUGAAUGUCGGUGCAAUGCGUAUAACUGUGCAGACUCAGACACUAUACUGAUGAGACAUGGGGAUCAGGUCUAUGGGCUGCCUAGGUUUGCAACCAUGCACCACAUCAAAUGGACUCAUGCUUAUGGACUUAUUGACCGAACUAUUAUAUGCAAACUCAAUGGUCGGUAACACUAAAUCCCAGAUCCUAGCAUGUUCACUUACCAGACAUUUUAACAGGCUUCUAAGGCUACGGUUGACAACUUCAAUCUGGCUGCCGGUUUGAGGAUGAUAGGCAAAAGAAAAUUAUAGUUUGGUACCUAUCAGCAUCCCUUCAGACAUAAAAGAUUUUGGAGGCACAGGGAAUCUAACGACUUCAUCGAAAGUUUGGCAAUUCUAGAAGCAUCAGAAGUCUUAGAACAGAAAAAAAGUGAGUCAUCUUUGAAAAUCAGUUCACAACCACAAAAAUGAAAUCGUGAUUCGUAGAAGUAUAUGGAAGUCCAAACACGAAAUCCAUAANNNNNNNNNNNNNNNNNNNNNNNNNNNNNNNNNNNNNNNNUGGCCAUGGGCAUUCGGGACGAAUCCAAAUCUUGUGGUACCAAAUCUUCAAAUAAAUCUUAGAAAAGAUCGUGGCACCAGACAGAAUCUAAAAGGUCGUUUAGCCUAGGAAUGGAAAAGCGCUACUUAACCGUGAGUUUGUUGAUGGCACAGCUAUCAACGCACAUCCUUCAAAAACUAUCUUUUGUGGGGUUGAGGAGUGUAGACACAGUAUAGGGGCUUAGGCUCUCACAAUCAUACCCUCUUGUGAAUAGUUCGUCAACUUGAUGUUUCAACUCAGCGCAUGCAUUUGGAUUGAGCCCAUAAUAAGGAAGGGUAGGCAGAGGUGCUCGAAGGACUAACUCAAUUGCGUGAUGGAUAUAACACAUCGGAGGAAGUGCAUCCGAAAGAUCAUCAGGGAUUACAGAAUGAAACUCCUCUAGAAGGGGAGCUAUCAUAGGAGAAUGGUCAAGGAUGGGUUCCUUCAUUAAUAGCUUUAGCCACAUGUGCCAACACAGGAGACUGACCCUCAAUAUCUUUUACUACCUCUUUCGAAGUAGUAAUGUGAAGUAUGUUUGUACUUAGGUCAACAGUUUUCUUUUGAGGAUCAUUCUGGACAAAUUCCAAUCCGGUGUGUUCGUCUCCAAAGUCUUCUACAUAAUCUUCUAUAUUUGGUUCACAGACUUCUUCGACAUAUUCGGCCUCUUGGUUUCCAGCUUCUGGUUCAGUAAUCAGGUAGGUCUUAAUGGAAUAUUGAGAUGCUAUGUGGCCGAAUUAUUGACACCUAGAGUAUUGGAUUUGGUUCCUAGGAGAAUGGGGAAGGACUAUAGGUGGUGCGGCCAAACCGAUAGGUUGGGCUGCAAUCAAGUAGAUUGCAAUCAAAUAGUACAGAUGCUCUGAUCCUAAAUCAAUAUGAUCGAAGAAUGUUGAGGAACAUUCAGUUGCUAGGGUGUGCUAAUUUAAUGUCUAGAUUUUAAAAUGGCGAAUAAGAUGGGUUUGAGAGUAGGAGUUCUAUGUUCUGAAUUUUGAUAGCAAAAGUAAGUUUCAAGAAUAUGGCUAUCAUGCAAGAGAACUAGAACAUAAUUAAAUGAACAAGCCCAAGAAAAGUGAAAACCUAUCACUUGUCGUGAAGCGGACGACCAGAAUUACUCGGAGGCUGGGGCGACGAUCAAGGGCACGGCUGCGGCAGAUGAACUCUCGAAAUGGCUCCAAUUGGUUCUCAACACAGCAACUCGGUAGGUCUGAUCUCUGUAACUCUGAAAAGAUGUGACGAGCCUGAUGACAGUGGCCUGUUUGCAGAAAAAAGAGGGGCAGCGGGCUGUAGGCCUGAAGAAGGGAUGAGUGACUUGGGCCAAUGAGCCGAAGGGUAGGAAAGUGGCGGUCUGGGCCUGAUGGGCCCACGGAUGAGAAUAUAGGGCGGCCUGGUGUGGUGUGGAAUCGGAUGAUUGGGCCUUUGAAGAGGAGUGGGGCUGAAAG
RNAcentral lists this long non-coding RNA (36868 nucleotides) under Phoenix dactylifera (date palm). Its description in RNAcentral is "long non-coding RNA (PDAC_LNC005003)". Lineage: Eukaryota; Viridiplantae; Streptophyta; Magnoliopsida; Arecales; Arecaceae. The record is from RNAcentral.